RNAcentral lists this transfer RNA (73 nucleotides) under Anaerolineae bacterium. RNAcentral's name for it is "tRNA-Lys". It matches the Rfam family "tRNA". From Rfam's summary of the family: Transfer RNA (tRNA) molecules are approximately 80 nucleotides in length. Their secondary structure includes four short double-helical elements and three loops (D, anti-codon, and T loops). RNAcentral also lists the same sequence under 1 other name. The record is from RNAcentral. Lineage: Bacteria; Bacillati; Chloroflexota; Anaerolineae.
GGGCCGUUAGCUCAGUUGGUAGAGCAGGGGCCUUUUAAGCCCAGGGUCGCGGGUUCGAUUCCUGCACGGCCCA